UCUGCCAGCGGAGGGAGGGGCCCGGCCGUGCGGGUGGCGCGCGCGGCAGAAGGGGAUUCUCCCCCUCCGCGCGCGCGCGCGCGCCACCGGCCGUUUCCUCGCGGAGUCGGGAGGAAGUGAAACCGCUGGAGCCACUCAGCUGAGAAUCGCGUCACCCGCCCCUCUGCCUUGUCCCGCUUCGCCGGGAGCGUCCGGGGGGCAAGGAGAGGCGCCGAGCUGCGGAACGUUGUGAGCCGGCCUCGUCGCCUCCCGCUCCCUCCCCCUCCCCCCACCUGUGCACGUGAGGCGGCGGUUGCCCCGCACAGGGCUGGGCGAGACGCGGGGCCGAGCGGGCCAGUCAGAGGAGAGACGCUCCCAUUGAAGGGUAGUUCCUGUUCUCUCCUAUGCUGUUCUGAGCUUUAAGCACAAACACACCCCGACCGCUAUUUUUAACCCAGAUUUUGUAAACUAGUUGUUGAAAACUCAGAGGACGCUGAAGAUGGAUAUCUCUGAAGAGAACACACAGAGUAACUUCUUCCAACUGUACCCUUCCCCAUAUAACUCUUAUGUCGAAAUCCAUUGUUCUGUCUUAUGGAAGGAAGAUGCAAGCUACCUUCUGAGGACUCUCCAAAAGAUACAGAAGACAGCCUUCUGCUCAGAACAGGGGUGCUUGAAUCUGCAACGUGUUAAUGUUCCAAGUGAACAGCCAAGAAGAGACCUCAGAUUAAUGGCAUUUACGCUGCUGGAAUAUCAGUAAGGAGAAGAGUGAAGCGAAAGGAGUUCUGAAUCCCAGAAUGGAAGGAAACCUGGAUGAUUAAGAAGUAUUGAGGGAGAUGGUGAAUUCCAUCAGAAGUAGGAAAAAUCAUACCUGCUCCCAUGUCAAACUGCUGGAAGAAUUUGAACAAGAUGUUCCCAUGAGCCACCUCCAUUAUAGCCUUAACAGAAGGGAUUUAAUAUAUCUAAGAGAGUAAAAAUACAGACACAGAACUAUAAAUGCAGCAUCUGGGGAGAGUCUGCAGUCACAAGGAGCACAAACUGCCUCAGAAACAAGCAUAGACCUGCUUUGUUGGAGUUCUGAAAGAUGAGAACAUCUAUAAGUUUUGUCUCUUCGAAAAAAAUAAGUAUAAAUUAUUAGUCUGAUUUGUGUAAGAUGUAAUGAUAUGACAGAUCAGAAGUUACAUAUAUAUUAUA
Mauremys reevesii (Reeves's turtle) is the source of this 1170-nucleotide long non-coding RNA. RefSeq lists it as uncharacterized. Lineage: Eukaryota; Metazoa; Chordata; Testudines; Geoemydidae. The record is from RefSeq and is a predicted model, not a curated record. The transcript is spliced from 5 exons.